UUACGGCCAUAUCACAUUCAAGCACCAGUUCGUAUCUGAUCAAUCAUCAAAGUUAAGCAAUAUUGAGGCUGGUCAGUACCUAGAUGGGUGACCACUUGGGAAUAUCAAGUGCUGUAU
Acanthosepion pharaonis is the source of this 117-nucleotide non-coding RNA. NCBI's taxonomy places the organism in Eukaryota, Metazoa, Mollusca, Cephalopoda, Sepiida, Sepiidae. The record is from the annotation of a GenBank genome assembly.